RNAcentral lists this unclassified non-coding RNA (354 nucleotides) under soil metagenome. RNAcentral describes it as "partial contains 5.8S ribosomal RNA, internal transcribed spacer 2, and large subunit ribosomal RNA". The stretch from base 1 to 120 matches the Rfam family "5.8S ribosomal RNA", at positions 35 to 154 of the family's 154-position model. The record is from RNAcentral.
GAUGAAGAACGCAGCGAAAUGCGAUAAGUAAUGUGAAUUGAAGAAUUCCGUGAAUCAUCGAAUCUUUGAACGCACAUUGCGCCCCCUGGCAUUCCGGGGGGCAUGCCUGUCCGAGCGUCAUUUCUGCCCUCCAGCCCGGCUGGGUGUUGGGCGCUGUCCCCCCGGGGACACGCCCCAAAGGCAGUGGCGGCGCCGCGUCGGGUCCUCGAGCGUAUGGGGCUUUGUCACCCGCUCGGGACGGACUCGUCGGCGCUGGUCUUCCUCCAGGCGACCCUUCGGGGCUCGUCUUCCUUCGGUUGACCUCGGAUCAGGUAGGGUUACCCGCUGAACUUAAGCAUAUCAAUAAGCGGAGGA